Molecule: non-coding RNA, 2299 nt
Organism: Cyanistes caeruleus (blue tit)
Lineage: Eukaryota; Metazoa; Chordata; Aves; Passeriformes; Paridae
Source: RefSeq, a predicted model, not a curated record
AAAUCAGUGAACCCCACAAACAUAUGCUGGCUCGAAACUCGAGUGAAGAGAAACCUCAUCACUGAGCUAGCCGGGCCACACUCGAGGAGAUCGAGUCAAUGGGCAGGGACACUUCCAGCAGAGCAGCUUGGGAGCCCAGCUGAGGCCUCACCAGCACUGAAUAGAGGGAAAGGAUCUACAAAGACAUGCCAGAAGGUCAUGUGGCCAUCCAGAGGAACCUCGAAAAGCCUGAGAAAUGGGCUGACAGGAACAUCACCAAGUUCAAGAAGGGGAACCCCCAAGUCCUGUUUCUGGAGAGGAACACUACCAGGCAGGCACCAGAGCAUGCUGCAGGCCUCCUAGCUGGGCUGGAAAGCAGAUGGUCAGGAAAGGCUUGGCACGUCCUGGAGAGCACCAAGAUCAACACAAGCCAAAAUAUGCACCCUUCUGGCAGAGAAGAGCAAAGGGAUCCUGAGUUGUGUUGAGAGUGCAGCCAGCAGGCCAAGGGAGGGGAUCCUUCUCCUCUGCUUAGCACUGGGGAGCACCUCUAGUGCUGGCUCCAGUUUGGGGCUCCUCAGCUCAGAAGAAUGCAGUGAAGGGCUGUGAAGAUGAUGAUGGAGGGACUGGAGCAACUCUGUCGUGAGGAAAGAUGGAGAAAGAUGGAACUAUUGAGCCUGGAGAAGAGAAGGCUUAGGGUGAUCUUAUCCAUGUCUAUAAAUACCAGAAGGGAGGGCACAAAGAAGAGGGAGCCAGGCUCUUCUCAGUGGGCCCAGUGACAUGACCGGAGUGAGCGGUCACAAACUGAAAUACAGGAGAUCCCCUCUAAUCUCCAGGAAACACUUUUUUAUUUUGAGAGUGACCACACACUGGCACAGGUUGCCCAGGGUGGUUGUGAAGUCUUCUUCCUUAAGCUAUUGGAAAACUGCUGAGACACAGUCUUCCUUUUCAUACUUGUUCACAAACUAAAAGAAAAGAAAAUGCAAAAAAGUCCUAUUUGCUAACACGUUAGAAAACAGUAAAACUCUGGUAAUUUUUUUAAUAUAUCUUUUAUUUCCAUUGAUACUUGUUUCAGAAGUAUAUUGGUUUGGUACAUUAUUACCAAAUUAAAUACUUUUAUUACUCAUUCCAGAAAAGAAGGUGCAACUUCAAUUACAUAUUAUGUUUUUCUUAUAGAGUUUAGCAAUAUGACAAAGUAGAUAAUGUACACUUCUUUGCUUAAAACUUCAGUAACUGAAAUUUUCAUGAAUAAGAAAGCUUACAAAGUUCUAUUAUAAUACAUUCUAUUAAUGCCUUUUACUGAGAAAAUUUAAUUAAAGUCAGUAAACUCAUAGAAAGAAUAAAUUGAAAUACGUCUGUUCUGUGCAAUUAGCAAAGUCCUUUCCAAAAAAACCAAAACCCAAGCACCCACAAACCACCAGUACAAAAGGUGUUUGUAGUGACAGCUGACAAAUGAUUGUGAACAGCAUUCUACCUGGGCCAAAUCAAGUGUCUUGUAAAGCAUCAGGAUUAUCUAAUUCCUUACAGAAGUGGCUAUGUCAUGAUAACAUUUUAUGAGGUAUUUAAUGAACAUUUAUAAAGCUGGGAAAGAAGGACAAAGAGUAAAAACUCACAAAAGUAAAUAGUUUACAUCUCCUCUUAUUUUAUAUCUAUUUCCUGGCCUGGGAAAAUUUUUCUUUCCAAACCUGCAUGAUGCACAGUACAUAGCAAAACUCUUUGGAGCAUUAAAAAUUUGUCACACUUAUAAAGCAGAAGUAGCAUGUGCCCACAGCCAAGACUGACAUUGAAUAGUGACAAACUGGUCUCCAUGUCCAGACCUGUUGAUCAUGAUGAAUAAAGGCUGCUGGUGUAGAGGUUACAGAUUGACCUGGAUGGACAGAUGAAGGGGUAAGCACAGGGGCACCUACUGGGACUGUGUAGAACUGUAGUUAGAGAGAGCCUCUGUGCCUGCUGUCCUCCAGAAGAGAAAAACACUCCCACCCAACUUGGCAUCAUCUGUGAAUUACUGAGGGUGCACUCAAUCCCCUUGUCCAGAUCACUGAUAAAGAUACUAAACAGGACUGGGCCCAAGACUGAGCCUUGGGGAUCAGCUGGAUGAACUCCACUUCCCACCACUCUGGGCCCUGCCAUCACCCAGUUUAUCACCAGCAAACAAUGCACCUAUCCAAGCCAUGAGCAGACAGUUUCUUCAGGAGAAUGAUGUGUGACGCAGUGCAAACAGGAUCAGGGAGCUGCCUAGGAAGAGUCUCAGGUGAAUCCAGGAGAAUACAGUACAGGACUGCUCAGCUUUCAAAUCAAUCUUGCUUAAAGAAUUCUACAAAAC